RNAcentral lists this long non-coding RNA (1340 nucleotides) under Homo sapiens (human). RNAcentral describes it as "non-protein coding FLG-AS1:28". The record is from RNAcentral. Lineage: Eukaryota; Metazoa; Chordata; Mammalia; Primates; Hominidae.
UGGAGGUAAUUGUAUUUUUGCUGAAUUUUAAUCUCCUUUUUGUUUCAAGAGUAUAUGAGGUAUUCUUUUCCUUUCCAAGACUGAUUUCUCUAUGUGUAUAUUUGAUUCAAUUUCUGUCAUUCCUUCUAGGUCCUUGAUCCAACAACGAUUCCUUUCUCUGUAUCAACAGAUUCUUACUUUCUAUAAAUCACCUUCCACUUGACUUAGAACUGUUAUUCACAUUCAGUAAAUUUUUAUUGCAUGCUGCCUGUGUUUCCAGCAUAUAUUUUAAUUUCUUCCUUUAUAAAGGAUUUUUCUUUCUUCCUUGCCUACUCUCUUAUUUCCUCUUUACUACAAACUUUUUAAAGAAUCUUUUCACACUGAUAUUUAAUAAGAAUUAUAACAACAAGUAGUAAUAAAGAUAGCCACUAAUAUUUAUUAGAUGAUUACUGUGGACCAGACACUUUUCUAAGUACACUAUAUAUAUUAACUAUGUAGCAGACAGUUCACAAAUUAAUUAAAAAUAUAUAUAUUAGGAUCUGUUUCUGGGCUAUUUAUUGUUAUAUUGAUCUGUAUUAUCUACUCUUCUGCCAAUAUGCUAUCUGGCAGAAGAGUAUUUAUAAUAACUUUAUAAAAUGCAUUUUAUCUUCCAUUACUUAGUGAAAUUCCCUCUCUUUGGGUUCUAGAACACCAUUUUCUCUGCCUCUCCUCCAACUUUGAUUCAUCUUUAUCAGUGUCCUUCACUGACCUUUCUUCUCCGCCUCCUUCAUGUGAUUCUAUUUAAAGCCCUUUACAGCCUGCCUCCAACUUGCUUUUCCAGCUGCAGUUCCUGAUACUGGUUUUUCUACAUGCUUCAGCCAAAGACAUAUACUCUUUGAUCCCUGAGAACACUAUUUCCUCAGUGUCUUUGCACAUGGAGUUCACUUCUCUGCUUGUGAAGUCUAUGAAUAUUGCAUGGCUGAUUUGUCACAAUUUUAAGUCUUCAACAUCUGGAGUGUUCUGGCAAGAAUUUGUAGGUAAGGACAAACCAAGGUGGGGAAAAAUUUUUGAAUCAUCAGAUUACCAUAGCACAACCUUGGAGAAUAAAACUCUUUUGCUCUGAAGCUCAUCUAAUAACCUGAUAUCUCUCAAAUGAAUCUAUCCAAUGACAGGGAAUACCCCAUGUUAAACAGCUGAUUCUUGUUCUGAAUACGUUUAUUAUCUUGUAGUUAGUAAAUAAAUCAAUUGGACCCUUAAGACUUUGCUUAGAGUGAAUCUGUCUCCCAGAGCUUGAUCACAUUUGAAUGUACAGACAAAAACUAACAAAAGUGAGAUCCAUCUGGGGAUGAGGUAUUGGGAUUCUGUAAGAUCCUGCCUGAAAC